RNAcentral lists this ribosomal RNA (440 nucleotides) under uncultured bacterium. RNAcentral describes it as "partial 16S ribosomal RNA". It matches the Rfam family "Bacterial small subunit ribosomal RNA", at positions 338 to 795 of the family's 1533-position model. The record is from RNAcentral.
CCUACGGGGGGCAGCAGUGGGGAAUAUUGCACAAUGGGGGAAACCCUGAUGCAGCGACGCCGCGUGAGUGAAGAAGUAUUUCGGUAUGUAAAGCUCUAUCAGCAGGGAAGAAAAUGACGGUACCUGAUUAAGAAGCCCCGGCUAACUACGUGCCAGCAGCCGCGGUAAUCCGUAGGGGGCAAGCGUUAUCCGGAUAUACUGGGUGUAAAGGGAGCGUAGACGGCAGCACAAGUCUGGAGUGAAAUGCCGGGGGUUAACCCCGGAACGGCUAUGGAAACUGGGCAGUUAGAGUGCAGGAGAGGUAAGUGGAAUUCCAAGGGUAGCGGUGAAAUGCGUAGAUAUUAGUAGGAACACCAGUGGCGAAGGCGGCUUACUGGACUGAAACUGACGUUGAGGCUCGAAAGCGUGGGGAGCAAACAGGAUUAGAUACCCCAGUAGUC